This 419-nucleotide ribosomal RNA is filed under the name bacterium. Its description in RNAcentral is "partial 16S ribosomal RNA". It matches the Rfam family "Bacterial small subunit ribosomal RNA", at positions 355 to 776 of the family's 1533-position model. The record is from RNAcentral.
UGGGGGAUAUUGCACAAUGGGCGAAAGCCUGAUGCAGCGACGCCGCGUGGGGGAUGAAGGCCUUCGGGUUGUAAACUUCUUUUGCCCUGAACAAGGCAUGCUAAUGGGUGUGUUGAGUGUAGGGGUUGAUUAGCGCCGGCUAACUACGUGCCAGCAGCCGCGGUAAUACGUAGGGCGCGAGCGUUGUCCGGAAUUAUUGGGCGUAAAGGGCUUGUAGGUGGCUGGUUGCGUCUGUCGUGAAAGCUCAUGGCUUAACUGUGGGUUUGCGGUGGGUACGGGCUGGCUUGAGUGCAGUAGGGGAGGCUGGAAUUCCUGGUGUAGCAGUGGAAUGCGCAGAUAUCAGGAGGAAUACCGGUGGCGAAGGCGGGUCUCUGGGCUGUUACUGACACUGAGGAGCGAAAGCAUGGGGAGCGAACAGG